Molecule: long non-coding RNA, 454 nt
Organism: Oryzias melastigma (Indian medaka)
Lineage: Eukaryota; Metazoa; Chordata; Actinopteri; Beloniformes; Adrianichthyidae
Exons: 3
Source: RefSeq, a predicted model, not a curated record
CCGAUUUGCUGAGUGAGUAAUCACUGUAAUCUCAAUUUGAAGACCUUGACUACUGGCUCACCUUGGAGACAGGAAGAUGCACGUCUGCUUAGAAACACCACCGCAGGUUCUUUGCAGACUUUGAGCUUUUGGAGUUGGAGACGGAAAUACUGAUGGAAACUUCCUCUGUUGGAGACAAACACGAACAGUCAGACUCAGGAGGAAGAACUGCAGGAAGGAAUUGUCCGGCACAGACGAUUCGGAUCGGUGCAGGCUUUCUCCGACGUAGUAAACCAGCGAUGCGGUGGUUAUUUCAAAGCAGUGAGGGCUGGCUCCGUCCGGAAGCAGAGAGAAGGUCUGAGCCGGCUCCAGGGUCAAGAUCUCCGACAGCGGGAUCUCCUGCAGGCACCAGGAAAGGAACAGGAAAUUAAAUAAUACCAUGAAGAUAGACGCUGAAAAUAAGAUCACUUUUUUA